UGGGGAAUAUUGGACAAUGGGCGCAAGCCUGAUCCAGCAAUGCCGCGUGAGUGACGAAGGCCUUCGGGUUGUAAAGCUCUUUCGCACGCGACGAUGAUGACGGUAGCGUGAGAAGAAGCCCCGGCUAACUUCGUGCCAGCAGCCGCGGUAAUACGAAGGGGGCUAGCGUUGUUCGGAAUUACUGGGCGUAAAGGGCGCGUAGGCGGUGCACCAAGUCAGGCGUGAAAGCCCCGGGCUCAACCUGGGAACGGCGCUUGAGACUGGUGCGCUCGAGUUCGGGAGAGGACGGUGGAAUUCCCAGUGUAGAGGUGAAAUUCGUAGAUAUUGGGAAGAACACCGAUGGCGAAGGCAGCCCGUCUGGACCGACACUGACGCUGAGGCGCGAAAGCGUGGGGAGCAAACAGGAUUAGAUACCCUGGUACGUCCACGCCGUAAACGAUGAGUGCUAGACGUCGGGGCCCCUAGGGCUUCGGUGUCGCAGCCAACGCA
This 489-nucleotide ribosomal RNA is filed under the name uncultured Pseudomonadota bacterium. RNAcentral's name for it is "bacterial SSU rRNA". It matches the Rfam family "Bacterial small subunit ribosomal RNA", at positions 355 to 859 of the family's 1533-position model. The record is from RNAcentral. Lineage: Bacteria; Pseudomonadati; Pseudomonadota.